CUACCUGAGCAGCUGGGAUAAUGAGUACCCACCUGUGCUCCCGGCAAGCUCGGGGCUAUCUGCCCGCCCCCAACAGCUGGGUUUAAUCGCCUUCAACCACCAGCUAGGCCACCGAGAUGGUUGGUGGUAGCUGGGUUCUCCUCGGUCGUACGUCCUAUGCCCAUAUUUCAUGGUUCUGCGUUGUCUCCAAGGAUUCAUGGCCCCUGAAGGAGGAAGAUACCGGUAGAUGACCAACCAACUCUCGGGGCCAAACAGGUUCCUAUAAACCGGUUGGGACAACCAACAACUCUCUCUACCCAUUAUUCUUUUUGGUUGGUAAAAUUGGUCAAAGCGACAUGUCAUUGGAAAACAAGCAUUUUCAAAUGAAGGCAUAGAACAAUCCUUUUUUUGGUCUUUGGAAUGUUUAGAGACGGAAACGCAAUUGAAAUUGGGCCCAUCAGAAAACUCCAUCAUUUCUUGUCCUUUCAAGCGAGGUUUUGAUGGGCAAAUCGUCGCACCCCUCAGACAAUAGUAACCUUUGUUUUACAGUAUAUAGUGGCGACUGGCUGGCUGAAAGAUCUUUGUUAUGGUCGACUGACCCUUCAAACUUUGGAAGUCCACUCCAUUCGUUAACCCCAAUAAUCCCAACUAGCGGGAACUGCCUCCUCAAUAUUGUCGACAAAAAAGCUGUUUUCGAGAUGAACUUGUUGCUGGGACUUGAGCCCAGCCAGGAUUUACGACAACAAGCCACCUGUUUCCCUCAUCUCGCCACUUUGUUCCCAUCAAGGGAAUCAAUCCACUGCAUUCAACCUCCAUUGGCACUACCAACAGCCAGAACAUUCAUCUCAUGUAUCUACCCAAACAUCCUAGUCCUUGGCGAUACAUUCUUUUAAAUGUAUUUAAAGUUGUUCAUUUUAGGCAAAGAAUUUCUCAGUGAGGGAUUCCCUGAAUGUAGUCACUAAUCCCUCACAAUUCGCCAGUAAUCCCCUUACGAAAUACAGACUGCUUGGCGAGUCCUAGCUCUAGAGCUCAGGAAUUCCUUCGUUCGUUCGUUACGGAGCUACGACAAACGACAGCUUCGUUGUAAAUCUUGAAUAGCACUCUGAUGCCAAACUGUCUGGUGAGUCUUGAACGCACUCACUGCCAUUUGUGUACAUCUACUCAUCGACCACGGAUCCUCCUAGGACCGAGAAUGUCGUACAGUUCAACACGGAGGUACAG
Tigriopus californicus is the source of this 1200-nucleotide long non-coding RNA. RefSeq lists it as uncharacterized. Lineage: Eukaryota; Metazoa; Arthropoda; Copepoda; Harpacticoida; Harpacticidae. The record is from RefSeq and is a predicted model, not a curated record. The transcript is spliced from 3 exons.